RNAcentral lists this transfer RNA (71 nucleotides) under Stegodyphus mimosarum. It matches the Rfam family "tRNA". From Rfam's summary of the family: Transfer RNA (tRNA) molecules are approximately 80 nucleotides in length. The record is from Rfam by way of RNAcentral. Lineage: Eukaryota; Metazoa; Arthropoda; Arachnida; Araneae; Eresidae.
GCCUUCGUGGUGUAACGGUAGCACACUCGGCGUGUAUUCGAGAGGUCCAGGUUAGAGUCCCGGAGAAGGUA